Molecule: ribosomal RNA, 77 nt
Filed under: Bacillus amyloliquefaciens
Lineage: Bacteria; Bacillati; Bacillota; Bacilli; Caryophanales; Bacillaceae
Description: partial 23S ribosomal RNA
Source: RNAcentral
UCAGGUUGAUAGGUCUGAGGUGGAAGUGUGGCGACACAUGGAGCUGACAGAUACUAAUCGAUCGAGGACUUAACCAA